RNAcentral lists this ribosomal RNA (492 nucleotides) under uncultured bacterium. RNAcentral's name for it is "partial 16S ribosomal RNA". It matches the Rfam family "Bacterial small subunit ribosomal RNA", at positions 29 to 507 of the family's 1533-position model. The record is from RNAcentral.
AGUGAACGCUGGCGGUAGGCCUAACACAUGCAAGUCGAACGGCAGCACAGUAAGAGCUUGCUCUUACGGGUGGCGAGUGGCGGAAGGGUGAGGAAUACAUCGGAAUCUACUUUUUCGUGGGGGCUAACGUAGGGAAACUUACGCUAAUACCGCAUACGACCUACGGGUGAAAGCAGGGGAUCUUCGGACCUUGUGCGAUUGAAUGAGCCGAUGUCGGAUUAGCUAGUUGGCGGGGUAAAGGCCCACCAAGGCGACGAUCCGUAGCUGGUCUGAGAGGAUGAUCAGCCAGACUGGAACUGAGACACGGUCCAGACUCCUACGGUAGGCAGCAGUGGGGAAUAUUGGACAAUGGGCGCAAGCCUGAUCCAGCCAUACCGCGGAGGUGAAGAAGGCCUUCGGGUUGGAAAGCCCUUUUGUUGGGAAAGAAAAGCAGCAGGUUAAUACCCCGCUGUUCUGACGGUACCCAAAGAAUAAGCACCGGCUAACUUCGUG